This 132-nucleotide small nucleolar RNA is filed under the name Mola mola (ocean sunfish). Its description in RNAcentral is "Small nucleolar RNA SNORA13 (ENSMMOG00000003917.1)". It matches the Rfam family "Small nucleolar RNA SNORA13". From Rfam's summary of the family: ACA13 is a member of the H/ACA class of snoRNA that guide the sites of modification of uridines to pseudouridines. The record is from Rfam by way of RNAcentral. Lineage: Eukaryota; Metazoa; Chordata; Actinopteri; Tetraodontiformes; Molidae.
UGCCUUUAUGUGUUGCCCUUUCAUUCUUUGUGUAAUGACUGGGGUGUCAAACAAGGCAUACAGUGACUCUUGUGACUGUCUGUUAAAUGAGUUUCAUUUUUCUCCUUUAUGCAAACAGCUGCAAGAACACAG